AUACCCCAUAGGCCGAGAGGUUAAAUGCAGAGAUGCGCGGCAGGAGGAGCUCGUGUCCUAUCAGCUGGUUGGUGAGGUAACGGCUCACCAAGGCUUCGACGGGUAGCCGGCCUGAGAGGGUGACCGGCCACACUGGAACUGAGACACGGUCCAGACUCCUACGGGAGGCAGCAGUGGGGAAUAUUGGGCAAUGGGAGAAAUCCUGACCCAGCGACGCCGCGUGAACGAAGACGGCCUUCGGGUUGUAAAGUUCUUUUAUGUGGGAAGAAUAAAGUGACGGUACCACAUGAAUAAGCCCCGGCUAACUACGUGCCAGCAGCCGCGGUAAUACGUAGGGGGCGAGCGUUGUCCGGAAUUACUGGGCGUAAAGGGCACGCAGGCUGUGCUUCAAGUCAGCUGUAAAAGGAUGCGGCUUAACCGUGUUAUGCAGUUGAGACUGAGGUGCUGGAGUGCCGGAGAGGCAAGUGGAAUUCCCAGUGUAGCGGUGAAAUGCGUAGAUAUUGGGAAGAACAUCGGUGGCGAAGGCGACUUGCUGGACGGUAACUGACGCUGAGGUGCGAAAGCCAGGGUAGCGAACGGGAUUAGAUACCCCGGUAGUCCUGGCUGUAAACGAUGAAUGCUAGGUGUGCGAGCAGAGAUGUUGGCGUGC
RNAcentral lists this ribosomal RNA (649 nucleotides) under uncultured Fretibacterium sp. RNAcentral describes it as "bacterial SSU rRNA". It matches the Rfam family "Bacterial small subunit ribosomal RNA", at positions 166 to 846 of the family's 1533-position model. Lineage: Bacteria; Thermotogati; Synergistota; Synergistia; Synergistales; Aminobacteriaceae. The record is from RNAcentral.